AGAAAAUCAAGCAGAUAAAUCAAUCAUUCCUAAUUCUCUUCUAAGUUGAGUGAACCUAUCCUCACUAAGUGGUUUAGUAAAAAUGUCCGCUAAUUGAUUACAAGUGUCCACAAAUUCUAUAGUGACAUCUUCUUUUUGAAUAUGAUCUCUAAUAAAAUGAUGUCUAAUUUCAAUGUGUUUAGUUCUAGAAUGUUGAAUAGGAUUUUUAGAUAUGUUGAUGGCACUAGUAUUAUCACAUUUGAUUGGAACUUGUUUUUGAUGUACUCCAAAGUCCUCAAGGGUUUGUUUCAUCCAUAAAACUUGUGCACAACAACAACCUGCCGCGAUGUACUCGGCUUCGGCGGUUGAAAGUGCAACCGAAUUUUGCUUUUUCGAAGACCAUGAGACUAAGGAGUGACCAAGAAAUUGACAAGUCCCACUCGUACUUUUCCGAUCAACUUUGCAUCCGGCAAAGUCGGCAUCUGAAAAGCCAAUGAGAUUAAAAUUAGUGCCCUUGGGAUACCAUAACCCUAAGUUGAGAGUCCCUUUAACAUAUCUAAGAAUUCUCUUUACAGCCACUAAGUGUGACUCCUUAGGUUGAGCUUGAAACCGAGCACACAAGCAAACACUAAACAUAAUGUCCGGCCGACUCGCGGUAAGAUAAAGUAAACUGCCAAUCAUACCUCGGUAGAGUUUGAUAUCAACAUCCUUGCCUUUUUCAUCCUUGUCAAGUUUAGUUGAGGCACUCAUUGGAGUGUUCGUCUCUUUUGAGCUUUCCAAGCCAAAUCUUUUGAUUAGGUCUUUUGCAUACUUGGCUUGAUUGAUGAAUAUUCCAUCUUUCAUUUGUUUAACUUGGAGUCCAAGGAAGAAUGAGAGCUCGCCCAUCAUGCUCAUUUCAAACUCAUUUUGCAUUAGCUUAGAGAAUUCUUUACAGAGAGAUUCAUUAGUAGCACCAAAUAUAAUAUCAUCCACAUAAAUUUGUACAAUGAGAAAAUCUUUAUCCUUAAUUUUGAUAAAUAAUGUGGUGUCAACUUUUCCUCUUGAAAAAUUAUUUGAAGUAAGAAAAGUGCUAAGUCUUUCAUACCAGGCUCUAGGAGCUUGUUUUAAACCGUAAAGUGCCUUUGAAAGCUUAAAAACGUGAUCCGGAAAGUUAUGUUUUUCAAAACCGGGUGGUUGCUCAACAUAAACUUCUUCGGAAAUAUAUCCAUUUAAGAAAGCACUUUUUACAUCCAUUUGAAAUAAUUUGAAAUUCAUAUAAGAAGCAAAUGCUAGAAGAAUUCGAAUAGCUUCAAGUCUAGCAACCGGUGCAAAUGUUUCAUCAAAAUCAAUUCCUUCAAUUUGGUUGAAACCUUGGGCCACUAGUCUAGCCUUGUUUCGAACCACAACACCUGAUUCAUCUCGCUUGUUUCGGAAGACCCAUUUAGUGCCAAUAACGGUAUGAUCACUUGGCCUUUCCACAAGCGUCCAAACUUGGUUCCUCUCAAAUUGGUUAAGUUCUUCUUGCAUCGCAAUGAGCCAAUUUUCAUCAUUGCUAGCUUCAACAAAAUUUUUAGGUUCAAUUUGAGAUAUGAAAGCCAAGUGGUCACAAAGUAAUCUAAGAGAGGAUCUUGUUUUGACUUUUUGACUUGGAUCUCCAAUGAUGGAGUCCUUGGGAUGAUAAGUGGCGAAUUUCCACACUUUAGGUAAGGGAGUGGGUUCAAUCUCUUUAGAGAUUAACUCCUCACUUUUCUUAGAUGGUUCAACUUCUUGGGGUGUGGAGUUUAUAUUUAGCUUCUCAAAGUCAAGAAGAUCAUCUUCAUAAGAAAGAUCCUUUCCCUUAUAUUCUUCAAAAAGAAUAUGCAUACUUUCCUCUAUUAUUAAAGUUCGUCGAUUAUACACUCGAUAAGCUUUACUAGUAGAGGAAUAACCCAAGAAUAUAGCUUCAUCGGAUUUAGCAUCAAACUUUCCCAACUUGUCUUUUGUGUUUAAAAUGAAACAUUUACAACCAAAAAUUUUGAAGUAACCAAUAUUGGGAGUUCUAUUAUGCCAUAAUUCGAAAGGAGUUUUCUCAAGGAUUGGUCGAAUUAGAACACGAUUCAUAAUAUAGCAAGCCGUGUUUACGGCUUCGGCCCAAAAAUAUUUAGGCAACUCCCCCUCAAUUAACAUAGAUCUAGCCAUUUCUUGGAGAGAUCUAUUUUUGCGUUCAACGACCCCAUUUUGUUGAGGUGUUCGAGGGGUAGCAAAUUGAUGUUCUAUUCCCAAUUCAUUGCAAAACUCUUCAAAGUUAUGAUUUUCGAAUUCACCUCCAUGAUCACUUCUAAUUUUGGAAAUUAUACAAUUCUUUUCAUUUUGAACACGAUAGACAAAGUCCUUGAAGGAUUUAAAAGUAUCAUACUUGUGUCUUAAAAAUAAAGUCCAAGUAAAUCUUGAGUAAUCAUCAACAAUUACGAAAACAUAGUUGCUUCCACCAAGGCUAGAGACAUCAAUUGGUCCAAAGAGAUCCAUAUGAAUUAACUCUAAAGGCCUAGUUGUUGAGACAACAUUUUUGGGUUUAAAAGAUGAUUUUACUUGCUUAGCUUGAGCACAAGCAUUACAAACCUCACCUUUGGCAUAGUCUAUUUUAGGUAAUCCUUUCACAAGUUUUCUUUUGGAAAGUUUAGAAAGAGAGUCCAUAUUAGCAUGUGCUAACCUUCUAUGCCAAAGCCAAGAUUCGUUAGUUUGAACUGAAAAACAUUUUUCACCUUCAUGUGAGAGUUUGCCUAAAUCAACGGUAUAAACAUUCUUGGAUCUAAAACCCAUAAAAGCUACCUCAUUUGUAGAAGGAUCAAGAAUGCUACAAUGAGAUGCUUCAAAUUUUACAAAAUAGCCUUUAUCACAUAAUUGACUAAUACUUAGUAAAUUAUGUUUAAGGCCAUCAACUAAAAGAACAUUGGAAAUGUUAACCUUUUCAUCACCGAUUGUGCCGAUUCCAAUGAUCUUUCCUCUAGUGUUGUCUCCAAAGGUGACAAAUCCUCCAUCUUUCAUUUCAAUUGAUUUAAACUUGGUUUGAUCCCAAGUCAUGUGUCUUGAGCAUCCGCUAUCUAAGUACCAUUUGUCACUUGCACCUUUUGAUUGGAGACACACCUACAAAAACAAAUCAAGUUUUUAACUUUGGUACCCAAGUGAGAUUGGGUCCUUUUGUGUUAGAUAAACCUUUCACAACCCAAAUUUGGUUAAGUUUAGGAUUCUUCUUAUAUUUACAAGAGGAAAUAUGAUGUCCUUUAAUAUUACAAUAGGAACAAUGCAAAGUUGGGUUUUGAGUUGUACUUUUAACAAAAACCUUUCUCUUAGCUUUUGUCAAUUUAACAUUGUUUGGAUUAGGAGCAUAACCUAUCCCAAACUUUUUGAAGUUUACAACUUGAUUUCCAAGCAUCAUAUUUAGAUACUUGGUUCCUCCAACGAAUUUCUCAAGAGUUCUCUUAGUUUCACCUAAGCUAACUUUGAGUUGUUGGUUUUCAACUUGAAGUUUUUCAAAUUGUUUGUCAUAAUGAAGAAUUGGCUUAAAAUUUAGAUCUUCAAUUUUCUUCUUUAAUGCUUCAUUUUCACGAAUGAGACUACAACAUGUCUCAUUAGCUUGUUUAAGCUCUUUCGUGAGUAAAGAGUCCUCAUUUUCAAGUAUUAAAGAAGGAUUUGAAGUUGAAAAUUUUAAGUUGUUAACCUCCAUCUCUAAUAAGGCAUUUUGCUUUUUGAGAGAUGUAUACUUGGGACCCAAACUUUGUAGAUUAUCAUAUAAAGAAAAGAAAGCUUCUAAAAGUUCUUCAUAACUUAAAUUGUUUACCUCAUCUUCAAGAGCCAUAAGACAUAGGAUUGAGCUUUGCUCCUCGAGGCAAAUUUGGGCAACUUCGUUUUCCGAUUCAUCAUCGCUAGAUUCGUCGGGGGCGUCCCAAUUUAGUGCAUUGAAGGCUUUCUUUUUCUUGUCUUUCUUAAAGGUUUUGUUUGGAAGAGUGCAUUCACUUUUCAAAUGUCCCGGUUUAUUACAAUUGUAGCAAAUGAUACCUUUCUUGAAUCCUUCACCUUUGAACCCGUCUCGUUUAGGUCUCCUCAAGUUGCGCUUCUUGAUUAGUCGAUCGAGCCUUUUUGAAAUCAUAGCGAUUUCUUCGCUCGAACCUUCUUCGCCAUCUUCACUCUCGGAAGCAAUGACUCCCUUAAGUGCAAGGCUUUUCUUUUUCUCAGGAGCCUCUUCGUUGUCAUAUUCUUUGAGGCGUUGUUCAUGCGCCAUGAGUGAUCCAACAAGUUCAUCAAUUUUUACUUUGUCCAAGUCAUGAGCUUCUUGGAUAGCCGUAACCUUAGGUAUCCAACUUCUUGGUAGUACACGAAGAAGUUUUCGUACCAAGUCCGAUUGAGGAAAAUCCUUACCUAAGGCUUUCAAGCUAUUUAUAAUGUUAGUAAAUCUUGUGAACAUAUUCGAAAUGGAUUCACUUUCCUCCAUUUUGAAUAGUUCAUAAUUUGACAUAAGCAUGCUUAUUUUAGAUUCCUUCACCCUAGAAGUACCUUCAUGAGUAACUUCUAAUUUAUCCCAAAUCUCUUUAGCCGUUGUACAUGUAGAGAUUCGGUGAAACUCUUCUCUACUGAGAGCGCAAAGGAAUGAAUUGAUAGCUUUAGCAUUCAAUUGAAAGCGAAAUUUUUCGGCUUCAUUCCAUUCCGCUCUUGAUUUUGAUGGAGCGAUAUAACCACUUUCGAUUAUAUCCCAAAUAUCAAAAUCUAGAGAUUGAAAGAAUAUCUUCAUUCUAAUCUUCCAAAAAGGAUAAUCGGUCCCAUCAAAAAAUGGUGGCCGAACAAUAGAUUGUCCUUCGAUAUUCUUUCCCGUGGAUGCCAUUCUCACUUAGAUUUUAAUCUAAAUAAUGUGAGACCUCGCUCUGAUACCAAUUGAGGAUCAAAAUGGCAACCUAAGAGGGGGGGUGAAUUAGGUUUCUAAAAUAAAAAUCCAAAUAAUCAAGCAAAUUAAAAAACCGAUGCAAAUAAAAGAAAUGCAAACUCGAAAAGCACACGAUCAAUUUGUUUCGAGGUUCGGCACUUUGCCUACGUCCCCGCCAACUUCUCAACACUCGAGAAUGUUGGAUCUCCACUAGAUGAUGCUUUUGCGGGCAAGCACCAAGCCUUCACAUCAACUCCUUCUUCUUUCAAGCUUCAAGAAUUUGCUUCUCUCUCUUUUUACAAGAUUAAAUCUCACUACAAGUUUCACUCAAGUUUAGAGAGAGAAUUGAGAGCUAAGAGUAUUAAGAUCACUGAAGUUUUUAAGCUCAAAUGAACUAUCAAGUUGUUACUGAGAGAGGCCUCAAUAUCAUCUAUUUAUAGCCUCGGGCAGCCUCUGUCGGUUGCACUUUCGGGCGCCCUAAAACUAUUUCCGGGCGCCCAGAAGUUUGUGCACGCCAGCUGCCUGUCGGACCACGUGCGCCGCUUUUCUUGACUUUGUAUGUUUGGGCCGUCAAAAAUUUGUGGGCGCCCAGAUCUCGAGGAACAGCUUUUCUGACACGCGCAGCUUUUCUUGACUUCGUAAGUUCUGGGCCGUCAAAAGUUGUGGGCGCACAGAACACGAGGAACCGCUUUUCUGACACGCGCCGCUUCCUCUGGAUUUGGGCCAUCAGAAAAUGUGGGCGCCCAGAUCUCGAGGGACAACUUUUCUGACAUGCGCCGUUUUUCUGGAUUCGAGCCAUCAAAAGUUGUGGGCGCCCAGAUCUCGUGCUGACUUUCUUGCCAGACAGCCCAGAUUGCGUGCGCCGCUGCUUCCGUAAAAUCUGGGCGCCCAGAUUUCGCGCCGCCUGUUGUCGCAACCUGUCAAGUCAAACAGUCUUUGUGUUUCUGGAUCACCCGAACAGCAAACAGGCAGGAUCCAAAAGGUCUCAAAAGAUUCGGAUCCACUUUCGGGCGCCCAGAACAGGGUCCAGAAAUUGCAACUUUACAGAACACAGAAUUUGAGCAAUUUUUGAAUAUUUAAAAGUCCUUUUCACCUAAUCAUAAAUUUAGAAAUUUGUUUAAGUGAUCUAUAAGGUGAUAAGAUGAAUAGUUUAAACUUAGCUCAAAAUUUCUCACUCUAAUCAUAAAGCAUAAUAUUAAUCAAAUUAAGAAUGGAGAGAGUGAGUUUGUCUAUUUGACAAAAGAAGCAAACACAGCUUCAAGUGGUGACGCUUGGUGCUAGACUAUUGUCCAUCUUGAAUCCUUUUUGAAGAUAGAGAGAUCUAAAACACAAGACUCAAGAUAAAAGAUUAGUCCAAUAAUCGUGAUUAUUUGUUAUCAUCAAAAUCUAAUAGACGAUUAGGGCCACUGGGCCAACAGACUUCUCACGGAAUGUUUGGGUGAAAUUUCUCAAGUCGAAAGGUGAGGCAUUUCAAGCAUUUAAGCACUUCAAGGCCGAAGUAGAGAAUCUCACCGGAUGCCGCAUUAAAGUUCUCCGAUCGGACAAUGGUUCGGAGAACAAAUCUAAAGAGUUUGAGCUCAUUUGUAAAGAGAAUGGCGUCUCAAGACACUAUACAAAUCCGUAUGAUGCACAACAAAAUAGGGUGGCCGAGAGGAUGAACCGUACAUUGAUGGAGCGGGCUCGUAGCAUGUUGAGCAAUGCCAGUUUGGAGCACGAGUUAUGGGCCGAGGCCGUGUCCAUGGCAUGCUAUCUUGUCAACCGCUCACCUUCUAUGUCUAUAAAUGGGGAACUCAUUGUGAUUAUUCUAAUGUAAAAAUAUUUGGUUGUCAUGCUUAUGCAUUGGUCCCUCGUUGUCAAAGAACUAAGCUAGAUUCAAGAUCAAGAAAAUGCAUAUUUGUUGGUUAUACAAAAGGUGUGAAAGGAUACCAGUGAUGGUAUCCGGUGGCCCACAUAAUUAUCACAAGUUGUGAUGUUCAUUUUGAUGAAUCAAAUGUGUUGAAAAAGGGUGUAGAACAUGAAAGCAUCGAGGAGGAAGAAAUUCGAAAUGAUACUCAAAAUUUUGAGCUACCAUCUUCAACUUUCUCACCAAAUGAAAAUAUUGAAUCGGAGGAUACACUGGUUGAAUAUGGUGAGGUCGAUGAUCAAAUCCAUGAAAAUUCUAAUGAAGGGGAAAGUUCUCAUGAAGGUGGAGAAAUAUAUGACUUGUCUCGACGUUCUACCAGAGAGUAGCACACACCUUUGCAUUUGAAUGAUUUUGUAGAUCCAAGUACAUUUCGGGCACUAAUUGUGGAAUAAGAAGAGCCAUGUACAUUUCUAGAAGCCAUAAAUUCUAUUGAUGCAAAGCAUUGGAAAGAAGCAAUGGAGGAAGAAAUUGUGGCACUUCACAAGAAUGAAGCUUGGAAUUUGGUGGAGUUACCAAAGAGCCGGAAAGCAAUUGGUUGCAAGUGGGUGUACAAAAUCAAAAGAGGAACCGAUGGGACAAUUCAAAGAUAUAGAGCAAGAUUGGUUGCUAAUGGCUUCGCACAAAAGGAAGGUAUGGAUUUCUUUGAAGUAUUUGCUCCCGUUGUUAAAUUGGUUUCUAUUCGGCUUGUUCUUAGUCUUGUUGCUAUGAAUGAUUUGGAACUUGAGCAAUUAGAUGUUAAAACGGCAUUUUUACAUGGAGAUUUAGAAGAAGAAGUUUAUAUAUAUCAACCUCAAGGCUUCAUAGAGAAGGAUAAGGAACAUCUUGUAUGCAAGCUCAAGAAAUCAUUGUACGGGCUCAAACAAGCAUCAAGACAAUGGUAUCGAAAGUUUAACACUUUUAUGCUAAGCCGUGGAUUCCAAAAAAGUAAGUAUGAUUAUUUGUCUACUUAAAAUUCUGCAAAGAUGGUACUUUUAUGGUUUUGGUGUUGUAUGUGGAUGACAUGCUUAUAGUAUGUAAGGACAAACUAAGGAUCAAUGAACUCAAGAGUGAAUUGAGUAAAGCCUUUGAAGUAAAAGAUCUCGGACCGGCACGUCAAAUUCUUGGCAUAGAGAUUUGGCGAGAUAGGCAAAAUGGCACAUUAUCACUUUCACAAAAAGGAUUUGUAGAAAAAUUGGUAUGCAAGUUUGGCAUGAGUAAAGCAAAGGUGUUAAAGACACCAUUUGCAUAUCACUUCAAAUUAUCUUCCGAGCAAAGUCCAAAGACAGAGGAGGAAAAGAAGUUAAUGAAUCAAGUUCCUUAUUCAAGUGUUGUAGGUAGCUUGAUGUUUGCCAUGGUGUGCACACACCCGGACAUUGCAUAUGCCGUUGGUGUUCUUAGCCGGUUUAUGGCAAACCCGGAAAGGUGCAUUAGGAAGCGGCGAAAUGGGUUCUUCGCUAUUUAAGAGGUACAAGUGUGUAAGGACUGAGAUUUUGACAGUGUAGCCAGACUCUCUGUUGACCAUGUUUUU
Molecule: long non-coding RNA, 8262 nt
Filed under: Ananas comosus (pineapple)
Lineage: Eukaryota; Viridiplantae; Streptophyta; Magnoliopsida; Poales; Bromeliaceae
Description: long non-coding RNA (ACOM_LNC002295)
Source: RNAcentral